ACGGGAGGCAGCAGUGGGGGAAUAUUGCACAAUGGGCGCAAGCCUGAUGCAGCCAUGCCGCGUGUGUGAAGAAGGCCUUCGGGUUGUAAAGCACUUUCAGUCGUGAGGAAGGUAGUGUAGUUAAUAGCUGCAUUAUUUGACGUUAGCGACAGAAGAAGCACCGGCUAACUCCGUGCCGGCAGCCGCGGUAAUACGGAGGGUGCGAGCGUUAAUCGGAAUUACUGGGCGUAAAGCGCAUGCAGGUGGUUUGUUAAGUCAGAUGUGAAAGCCCCGGGGCUCAACCUCGGAAUUGCAUUUGAAACUGGCAGACUAGAGUACUGUAGAGGGGGUAGAAUUUCAGGUGUAGCGGUGAAAUGCGUAGAGAUCUGAAGGAAUACCGGUGGCGAAGGCGGCCCCCUGGACAGAUACUGACACUCAGAUGCGAAAGCGUGGGGAGCAAACAGGAUUAGAUACCCUGGUAG
Molecule: ribosomal RNA, 461 nt
Filed under: uncultured bacterium
Lineage: Bacteria
Description: bacterial SSU rRNA
Rfam family: Bacterial small subunit ribosomal RNA
Source: RNAcentral